This 428-nucleotide ribosomal RNA is filed under the name uncultured bacterium. RNAcentral's name for it is "bacterial SSU rRNA". It matches the Rfam family "Bacterial small subunit ribosomal RNA", at positions 355 to 775 of the family's 1533-position model. The record is from RNAcentral.
UGGGGAAUUUUGCGCAAUGGGCUAACGCCUGACGCAGCAACGCCGCGUGGAGGAUGAAGGUCCUUGGAUUGUAAACUCCUGUCAGCAGGGAAAAAGCGAGCCGACCUAAUACGUCGGUGAGUUGAUUGUACCUGCAGAGGAAGCCCCGGCUAACUCUGUGCCAGCAGCCGCGGUAAUACAGAGGGGGCAAGCGUUAUUCGGAAUUAUUGGGCGUAAAGGGCGCGUAGGCGGCUUGGCAAGUGGAAGGUGAAAUCCCUCGGCUUAACCGAGGAACUGCCUUCCAGACUGUUAGGCUUGAGACCGGGAGAGGUGAGUGGAAUUCCCAGUGUAGCGGUGAAAUGCGUAGAUAUUGGGAGGAACACCAGUGGCGAAGGCGGCUCACUGGACCGGUACUGACGCUGAGGCGCGAAAGCGUGGGGAGCAAACGG